Molecule: non-coding RNA, 3726 nt
Organism: Arvicanthis niloticus (Nile rat)
Lineage: Eukaryota; Metazoa; Chordata; Mammalia; Rodentia; Muridae
Source: RefSeq, a predicted model, not a curated record
GAGCACAGCGGGCGCGACGGGGGCGGUGCGGUCUCGGCUGGCGGCAGAAGCGGCCGCGGCGGGUCUGGGCAGGGCCGGGGAGCGCGGCCGGAGCGGAACGGGAAGGGGUCGGAGUCGCAGCCCGGCCGGCGUGGCGUGCUCAGUGGGACCCGAGGCGAGCGGCGGCCGAGUUCUGGAGUCUGGAAGCCAGAGGUGAAGCUGCAGUAGUGUUGAGAUCUCUUCUGGGUUACAGAUCCAACUGGUUAUACACUUAUACAGCUGAAGAAGGUCUGCCUGUAGGUUUUGAGCAUCUGAUCCCUGAACUGGAGUGUCUGCUGCCACCCCCUCAUCCUCUGCAGAAAUGUCUGUCACCUAUGAUGAUUCUGUGGGAGUGGAAGUGUCCAGCGACAGCUUCUGGGAGGUUGGGAACUAUAAACGGACUGUGAAGCGGAUUGAUGAUGGCCACCGCCUGUGUGGUGACCUCAUGAACUGUUUGCACGAGCGGGCACGCAUCGAGAAGGCAUAUGCACAGCAGCUCACUGAGUGGGCCCGACGCUGGAAGCAGCUUGUAGAGAAGGGACCACAGUAUGGGACAGUGGAGAAAGCCUGGAUGGCUGUCAUGUCUGAAGCAGAGAGGGUGAGUGAGCUACACCUGGAAGUGAAGGCAUCGCUGAUGAAUGAAGACUUUGAGAAGAUCAAGAACUGGCAGAAGGAAGCCUUUCACAAGCAGAUGAUGGGAGGCUUCAAGGAGACCAAGGAAGCAGAGGAUGGCUUUCGAAAGGCCCAGAAGCCCUGGGCCAAGAAGCUGAAAGAGGUAGAAGCAGCAAAGAAAGCACACCACACAGCAUGCAAAGAAGAGAAACUGGCCAUCUCUCGGGAAGCCAACAGCAAAGCAGAUCCAUCCCUCAACCCUGAGCAGCUGAAGAAACUGCAAGACAAGAUAGAAAAAUGCAAGCAGGAUGUUCUAAAGACCAAGGACAAGUAUGAGAAGACCCUGAAGGAGCUUGAUCAAACCACACCCCAGUACAUGGAGAACAUGGAGCAGGUGUUCGAGCAGUGCCAGCAGUUUGAAGAGAAGCGCCUGCGCUUCUUCCGAGAGGUUCUGCUGGAAGUUCAGAAGCACUUGGACCUGUCCAAUGUGGCUAGCUACAGAACCAUUUACCGAGAGCUGGAGCAGAGCAUCAAAGCAGCUGAUGCUGUGGAGGACCUCAGGUGGUUCCGGGUUAACCAUGGGCCAGGCAUGGCUAUGAACUGGCCACAGUUUGAGGAGUGGUCUGCAGAUCUGAAUCGAACUCUCAGCCGGAGAGAGAAGAAGAAGGCUGCUGAUGGUGUUACCCUAACAGGAAUCAAUCAGACAGGUGACCAGUCUGGACAGAACAAGCCUGGCAGCAACCUUAGUGUCCCGAGCAACCCCGCCCAGUCCACGCAGUUACAGUCCAGCUACAACCCCUUCGAGGAUGAGGACGACACGGGCAGCAGCGUCAGUGAGAAGGAGGACAUUAAGGCCAAAAAGUUGGUGAACACACACUUCCCUCUGGCUUCCACCUCACUCUCUGUGUCUCCUCUCUCUAUCCAGGGGUCUUUUGGGGUCUCACCGCUCUGCACUUCAGCAGUGCAUGGGUCCUCCAGGACCUUGGCAUGUUCCAGACCUGCUGGGACAGUGUCUGGCCUCUCCACCUCUCUGGGAGGGCACAGCUAACACUCUUCGGUUGCUUUUUCUCUGUCCUGUGUUAACCCUUUAAGGCUUGAGCAGCACCACUACAGGAAGACAGACAGGCAGUAUAAACCAGGGACCUGCUGAAGUGGGUAAAGCUCUACCUGCAGGCACUCCCCUGGGAUACUCACAGCCUCCAGCUUCUCUUGAGGGCUCAGGAUGAGUGUGGAUGGCAUGAAGGCUCCGAGGGGCCUGGCUGCACCUGCCUGUGGGGCAGGAACUCUGGGUGGGGACCCAUUCUCUGUCAGUCGCAUGUUAAGAGCCUCACGUCAUCCUCUGUUGCAGUGUCAGCAGCUAUGAGAAGACUCAGAAUUACCCUACUGACUGGUCUGACGAUGAGUCUAACAACCCUUUCUCCUCGACGGAUGCCAAUGGGGACUCCAACCCAUUUGAUGAAGACACUACCUCAGGAACGGAAGUGCGAGUUCGCGCCCUCUAUGACUAUGAGGGGCAAGAACAUGAUGAGCUGAGCUUCAAGGCUGGGGAUGAGCUGACCAAGAUAGAGGAUGAAGAUGAGCAGGGUUGGUGCAAGGGACGUUUAGACAGCGGGCAGGUUGGCCUGUACCCAGCCAACUAUGUCGAGGCUAUCCAGUGACAGUUCAUGGGCAGGCUGGCGGAGAGAUGGAAGUGGGCAGUGGAGGAGCUCCGUUAGCCUUGGCCUGGGCAGUGACACCUCUAGUGCCCCCAGCAGCCAUGUAGGCAUCCACUCCACCUGCAAAAGACAAUGGCUCUGUUGUUGGCUUCCUGGUGUGCUUUGAAGGCAGAUGAGCUGGUGAUUUCCUUGGGCACUUGGCCCCUUUCUAAGCAUAUCUGGGCAGAUCUAGGCACAGGAAGAUACGGUCCAACAGCGAGAGCCAGGCCCCUCCCCACCCCCACCAGCUCUCUCUAUCAUGGAUCUGCACCUUCUUGCCCUUGUCUCUCCUGAGUCAAUGACGGAUCAUACUGAUUCUUGUUCCAUUGAUUAUUUUCUCUGAUGAGGCCCUGCCUGCAAGUUCAAUGAACAGACUUACAUGCCAUUUUCUGAGUAAAGAGUUUGAGGUUUUAAUUUAAAGGCAGUGUACAGUUAUACUUUUUUAUAUGCUCUUUUAGUCAGUUAAAUUAUGGCCUACACUGAUCUGAGAUGUUCUCCAUGUGAGCUGUCUUCAUUUCUCUGUGCUGUGUCCAGAUGUGGGGUUGCUGCAGCAGGGGUUCCGUGGCAAGUGCCAUUGCAGGGGUAACCUUGUGCAGGGCCCCAACACUUAUGUGUUUAGAGACUAUUUUCACUCUAUCUCUGCUUUAGUUUUUGCAGAUUAACAGUUUUAUUAGUGAUUUGGAAAGUUAACAGUAAGAAGACUAACUUUUCAAAACAGCUGCGUCUGUAGACUAAGAUGCCUUACAUUAGACCCUUGUGUCUUGAUGUAUAUCUGUAUAUAUUAUUUGAUAUUCAGAGAAUCUAUAGAGUUCACCCACUGUUGAAUGAGAGCUCGUGGCUUCUGACAGCAGAUCUGGUCAACUGCUUGAAGCCAGUUGACCACCCAGUUAAGAUGUGGCUCUGGCCUGAGUGGAGCUGCUGAGAAGACUGAUUCUCAUUGGCCAGGGCUCCAAGCUCCAUGACAGAGCACUGGAAAAGCUCCUAGGACUUUGUAGUAGUCACAGGCUUCACAGGCUUCACAGUCCCUGUGUCACUCACUGGAGAGCUGGAGGGGUUCCACUCCCUCCCACACACACAUGUAAGUUCCUCCAAUUGUGCGUGUCCUCGGGUGCAGUGGAAUUUUAGUGAGCCCCACGGAUGGGCACAGAGAAGACUUUGUUAGCUCGGACAGUGUGCAGUGGUGCACAUCUGCAGCUUGUAUUCCUUCAGGGUUUGGCGGGAGCGCUGUUUCGCAGUGGCUGUGUGUCAGGAGAACUUACCAGCAGAAAUCCUUGUUCCUAAGCUACAGAAUGACCAAAAGUUGUAAAGUCCUUAAUAUUUAGAAACUCCUUUAAAUGUAUAAUAUUUUAGAACAACCACAACAAAACUCAAUAAACAGUUGAUCCUUGUGUGUUUGACAGCC